GACGAACGCUGGCGGCGUGCUUAACACAUGCAAGUCGAACGAAGAGCGAUGGAAGCUUGCUUCUAUCAAUCUUAGUGGCGAACGGGUGAGUAACGCGUAAUCAACCUGCCCUUCAGAGGGGGACAACAGUUGGAAACGACUGCUAAUACCGCAUACGAUCUAAUCUCGGCAUCGAGGAUAGAUGAAAGGUGGCCUCUACAUGUAAGCUAUCACUGAAGGAGGGGAUUGCGUCUGAUUAGCUAGGUGGAGGGGUAACGGCCCACCAAGGCGAUGAUCAGUAGCCGGUCUGAGAGGAUGAACGGCCACAUUGGGACUGAGACACGGCCCAGACUCCUACGGGAGGCAGCAGUGGGGAAUCUUCCGCAAUGGACGAAAGUCUGACGGAGCAACGCCGCGUGAGCGAUGACGGCCUUCGGGUUGUAAAGCUCUGUUAAUCGGGACGAAAGGCCUUCUUGCGAAUAGUGAGAAGGAUUGACGGUACCGGAAUAGAAAGCCACGGCUAACUACGUG
RNAcentral lists this ribosomal RNA (510 nucleotides) under uncultured bacterium. Its description in RNAcentral is "partial 16S ribosomal RNA". It matches the Rfam family "Bacterial small subunit ribosomal RNA", at positions 28 to 507 of the family's 1533-position model. The record is from RNAcentral.